CACUAAUCCAUGCCAGGCUCUGUGGUGUAAGACGGUGGCAAAAGUUCAAGUCCCUGGAUGGCCAGUGAUGAACAGUGAGAUCUUGAGUGGAGUCAAUUCAGGAACUUGGCUGAGGUUCUGCCCUACUUUGAACUCUGAGUGAUCCCUGUGCUUCUGUAGCUGGUCCCUCUGUCUGCGAGCUGGGUCAUGCCGAAUGCCAGCCAUGGUCUCACACAUCUGUCUCCUCACUAGACAGCAAGUGCUGCUACAAGUUGUGCAACGUGCUUAAACAUCACACGCCGAACAGGAGGCAGAGCCUGUCUAACUUCAAAGCACACACUCUUCACUCUGUUAAACUGAUGGAGGGGAAAAUGAACAAAAC
Molecule: long non-coding RNA, 361 nt
Filed under: Heterocephalus glaber (naked mole-rat)
Lineage: Eukaryota; Metazoa; Chordata; Mammalia; Rodentia; Bathyergidae
Description: lncRNA (ENSHGLG00100045892.1)
Source: RNAcentral